AACGAACGCUGGCGGCAUGCCUAACACAUGCAAGUCGAACGAGACCUUCGGGUCUAGUGGCGCACGGGUUCGUAACGCGUGGGAACCUGCCCUUAGGUUCGGCAUAACUCCCCGAAAGGGGUGCUAAUACCGGACAAUGUCUUCGGCCCAAAAAUUUAUCGCCUUUGGAUGGGCCCGCGUUGGAUUAGCUAGUUGGUAGGGUAAAAGCCUACCAAGGCGACGAUCCAUAACUGGGCUGAGAGGAUGAUCAGCCACACUGGGACUGAGACACGGCCCAGACUCCUACGGGAGGCAGCAGUGGGGAAUAGUGGACAAUGGGCGGAAUCCUGAUCCAGCAAUGCCGCGUGAGUGAUGAAGGCCUUAGGGUUGUAAAGCUCUUUUACCCGGGAUGAUAAUGACAGUACCGGGAGAAUAAGCUCCGGCUAACUCCGUG
Molecule: ribosomal RNA, 433 nt
Filed under: uncultured bacterium
Lineage: Bacteria
Description: partial 16S ribosomal RNA
Rfam family: Bacterial small subunit ribosomal RNA
Source: RNAcentral